AAGUCGUAACAAGGUUUCCGUAGGUGAACCUGCGGAAGGAUCAUUAACGAAUUAAACGAACGUCUUCGGUUGAGCUGGCCUUCGGGCAUGUGCCCGCCGAAGUACGCUUUUCCAAAUUCCAACACCUGUGCACCUUUGUAGUUCUCUUCUGUUCUUCUUGGUUCGGGGCCGAUAAACCGCAAGGGGAAGGCUUCGACGAAGGGAGAAGAGGAGGAACUAUGUAUUUCAUACCCCAACCAAUACAGACCAAAGAAUGUAACAAAGUCGGCUUGUGGGCUGAGGCGUUAAACAACCUCGUCCCUUGACGCAAAACAAAACUAUAUACAA
RNAcentral lists this unclassified non-coding RNA (327 nucleotides) under plant metagenome. Its description in RNAcentral is "partial contains small subunit ribosomal RNA and internal transcribed spacer 1". The stretch from base 1 to 46 matches the Rfam family "Eukaryotic small subunit ribosomal RNA", at positions 1786 to 1831 of the family's 1831-position model. The record is from RNAcentral.